GAACCUCCAUCGAACUUUACCGGGACCUCCUCCGUCUCGUCAAUCACAUCGCACCGGGAGCAUCGCCCAAAUCCAUCGCCCUGCGCACCAUGAUACGUUCCGAAUAC
RNAcentral lists this non-coding RNA (107 nucleotides) under Thalassiosira rotula. Lineage: Eukaryota; Bacillariophyta; Thalassiosirophyceae; Thalassiosirales; Thalassiosiraceae. The record is from RNAcentral.